UACGGAGGGUGCAAGCGUUAUCCGGAUUCACUGGGUUUAAAGGGUGUGUAGGCGGGCUAUUAAGUCAGUGGUGAAAUCUCCGGGCUCAACCUGGAAACUGCCAUUGAUACUAUUAGUCUUGAAUAUCGUUGAGGAGGGCGGAAUAUGUCAUGUAGCGGUGAAAUGCUUAGAUAUGACAUAGAACACCGAUUGCGAAGGCAGCUCUCUAAACGAUCAUUGACGCUGAGGCACGAAAGCGUGGGGAUCGAACAGG
Molecule: ribosomal RNA, 253 nt
Filed under: uncultured bacterium
Lineage: Bacteria
Description: partial 16S ribosomal RNA
Rfam family: Bacterial small subunit ribosomal RNA
Source: RNAcentral